GUUCAGUUUUGAAGGUAUUUUUAAUGUUUUGUAUCAAAGCAUUUUACUGACGAAGUUCUCAACCUUUUUGGUGUUGAGAUGAAAAAAUAACGACACGCCAUUAUGAUUACUUUAAUAUUUGGAGGACCAUAUCACAAGGUUAUAAAUUAAAACUACAUUAAAUGUGUGUCAUCAA
Molecule: long non-coding RNA, 175 nt
Organism: Etheostoma spectabile (orangethroat darter)
Lineage: Eukaryota; Metazoa; Chordata; Actinopteri; Perciformes; Percidae
Exons: 3
Source: RefSeq, a predicted model, not a curated record